AUACGUAGGUGGCAAGCGUUGUCCGGAUUUACUGGGUGUAAAGGGCGUGUAGGCGGAGAUGCAAGUCAGGAGUGAAAUCUAGGGGCUCAACCCCUAAACUGCUUUUGAAACUGUAUCCCUUGAGUAUCGGAGAGGCAGGCGGAAUUCCUAGUGUAGCGGUGAAAUGCGUAGAUAUUAGGAGGAACACCAGUGGCGAAGGCGGCCUGCUGGACGACAACUGACGCUGAGGCGCGAAAGCGUGGGAGCAAACAGGAUUAGAUACCCUGGUAGUCCACGCUGUAAACGAUGAAUACUAGGUGUGGGGGGACUGACCCCCUCCGUGCCGCAGUUAACACAAUAAGUAUUCCACCUGGGGAGUACGAUCGCAAGAUUGAAACUCAAAUGAAUUGACGGGG
Molecule: ribosomal RNA, 395 nt
Filed under: uncultured bacterium
Lineage: Bacteria
Description: partial 16S ribosomal RNA
Rfam family: Bacterial small subunit ribosomal RNA
Source: RNAcentral